ACUCCGGUUGAUCCUGCCGGACCCGACCGCUAUCGGGGUAGGGCUAAGCCAUGGGAGUCGAACGCCCCGCCGCUGCGGGGCGUGGCGGACGGCUGAGUAACACGUGGCUAACCUACCCUCGGGACGGGGAUAACCCCUCGGGAAACUGGGGCUAAUCCCCGAUAGGCGGGGGGUGCCUGGAAGGGUCCUCCGCCGAAAGGGGCCGCGGGGGGUUAUCGCCCGCGGUCCGCCCGAGGAUGGGGCUGCGGCCCAUCACGGUAGUUGGCGGGGUAAUGGCCCGCCAAGCCUACGACGGGUAGGGGCCGUGAGAGCGGGAGCCCCCAGAUGGGCACUGAGACAAGGGCCCAGGCCCUACGGGGCGCACCAGGCGCGAAAACUCCGCAAUGCGGGCAACCGUGACGGGGCUACCCCGAGUGCCCCCCUUGGGGGGGCUUUUCCCCGCUGUAAGUAGGCGGGGGAAUAAGCGGGGGGCAAGACUGGUGUCAGCCGCCGCGGUAAUACCAGCCCCGCGAGCGGUCGGGGUGCUUACUGGGCCUAAAGCGCCCGUAGCCGGCUCGACAAGUCCCCGCCUAAAGCCCCGGGCUCAACCCGGGGAGUGGCGGGGAUACUGUCGGGCUAGGGGGCGGGAGAGGCCGAGGGUACUCCCGGGGUAGGGGCGAAAUCCAUUAAUCCCGGGAGGACCACCAGUGGCGAAGGCGCUCGGCUGGAACGCGCCCGACGGUGAGGGGCGAAAGCCGGGGGAGCGAACCGGAUUAGAUACCCGGGUAGUCCCGGCUGUAAACGAUGCGGGCUAGGUGUUGGGCGGGCGUGCGAGCCCGCCCAGUGCCGCAGGGAAGCCGUUAAGCCCGCCGCCUGGGGAGUACGGCCGCAAGGCUGAAACUUAAAGGAAUUGGCGGGGGAGCACCACAAGGGGUGGAGCCUGCGGCUUAAUUGGAGUCAACGCCGGGAACCUCCACCGGGGGCGACAGCAGGAUGACGGCCAGGCUGAAGGCCUUGCCCGACGCGCUGAGGGGAGAUGCAUGGCCGUCGCCAGCUCGUGCCGUGAGGUGUCCUGUUAAGUCAGGCAACGAGCGAGACCCCCGCCCCUAGUUGCCAUCCCCGGGGCGACCCGGGGGGCACACUAGGGGGACUGCCGCCGCUAAGGCGGAGGAAGGAGGGGGCAACGGCAGGUCAGCAUGCCCCUAAACCCCCGGGCUGCACGCGGGCUACAAUGGCGGGGACAGCGGGUGCCGACCCCGAAAGGGGGAGGCAAUCCCUCAAACCCCGCCUCAGUUGGGAUCGAGGGCUGCAACUCGCCCUCGUGAACGUGGAAUCCCUAGUAACCGCGCGUCAUCAUCGCGCGGUGAAUACGUCCCUGCUCCUUGCACACACUGCCCGUCGCUCCACCCGAGGGGGGAGGGGGUGAGGCCCUCUCCGCCGGGAGGGGGUCGAACCCCCUCCCCCCGAGGGGGGAGAAGUCGUAACAAGGUAGCCGUAGGGGAACCUGCGGCUGGAUCACCUCNNN
This 1504-nucleotide ribosomal RNA is filed under the name Aeropyrum pernix. RNAcentral's name for it is "cytosolic SSU rRNA". It matches the Rfam family "Archaeal small subunit ribosomal RNA". The record is from RNAcentral. Lineage: Archaea; Thermoproteati; Thermoproteota; Thermoprotei; Acidilobales; Acidilobaceae.